GCUUAUGGCCAUACAACCCUGAAUGCGCCUGAUCUCCUCUGAUCUCUGAAACUAAACAGUGUAGGGCCUGGUUAGUACUUGGAUGAGAGAAAGGUAUGGUUCUCAAUAUAGGUC
This 114-nucleotide ribosomal RNA is filed under the name Neotoma lepida (desert woodrat). Lineage: Eukaryota; Metazoa; Chordata; Mammalia; Rodentia; Cricetidae. The record is from RNAcentral.